CACGUAGGUGGCCUGUUAAGUCGGGUGUGAAAUCCCUGGGCUCAACCCAGGAAGUGCACUCGAAACUGGCAGGCUUGAGUACUGAAGAGGGUCGCGGAAUUCCCGGUGUAGAGGUGAAAUUCGUAGAUAUCGGGAGGAACACCAGUGGCGAAGGCGGCGACCUGGGCAGAUACUGACACUGAGGUGCGAAAGCGUGGGGAGCAAACA
RNAcentral lists this ribosomal RNA (207 nucleotides) under uncultured bacterium. RNAcentral's name for it is "partial 16S ribosomal RNA". It matches the Rfam family "Bacterial small subunit ribosomal RNA", at positions 568 to 774 of the family's 1533-position model. The record is from RNAcentral.